Molecule: long non-coding RNA, 488 nt
Organism: Ruditapes philippinarum (Manila clam)
Lineage: Eukaryota; Metazoa; Mollusca; Bivalvia; Venerida; Veneridae
Exons: 4
Source: RefSeq, a predicted model, not a curated record
AAUGUAAGCUGUUGGCAUCUUUUAUGACAUUAAUUAAAUGAAGAUACAGUGUUUUGAUGUUACGGAACACUACCCCUAUGGUAAUCAAAAUAUUUCCAGGACAUUUAAAAACACCAAACACUACAGAAUGAAUCGUCAGUUUAGUUUGUUUUGAAUUUGAGAAGGAGUUACAUUUUUUUUAACUAAAUAAAACACUAUUUAAGGGGGAAACGAAGAAAAUGGGAUUCAUACUAAAGCUGUUUGGUUCUCUGCUACUGCUACAGAUUUUUAUGUUUUGCACAAACACCGUUGAAGGUAUAAACGUUUAGUUGCUUCAAGAUAUUUCCUCACGAUUGAUAUAUCUACAAAUGGACGUACAGGCUAUAGACUGAGUUUACAAGACAUUAAGAGCAUUCUUUGUGACGCAACACGAAAGACUGUUGAAUGUUUUCUCAACUUUAAGGUUGUCGGUGAACCAAAAUGUUGGUCGGUAAGUAAAUAACUUAUCU